This is a long non-coding RNA of Equus caballus (horse), 4511 nucleotides long. The record is from Ensembl. NCBI's taxonomy places the organism in Eukaryota, Metazoa, Chordata, Mammalia, Perissodactyla, Equidae.
CGGGAACGUGCGGUUUCAAGCGUACUCAGCUAGAGGGAGGAGCGACAGUGCUCUAGAGGCUCGUGCGCAGGCGCCUCGCGGAGCAGGGGGCUGGAGCUUGGGCUGCUGGGCGAAAUGGCCGCGGGAGGCGCAGGCGCACGUGGUGCUGAUCAUGGAACGUCUAAACUCCGCCAUUUUGAAGGAAAAAUGAAGAAAGGGUGGAUGAGAAGAUACUUUGAGACUUACAAAGAAAUUGAAAGACUAGAGGAAGGCCAUAAUGAUGCAAGAAAUAUCAAAGAGGAGGUGACUUUGAAGGACAAAGGAGAUAAGAGGGUCCAUUUUCAGCAUAACGGAUAUGACCAGGCAUGGCUGAGAGGAACCAGAGAUACCAGGCAGACCUGUGAGAUCAGCAAAUGUGCCAGGCGAACUUAGUAGGAUCCUUCACGGGCACAGUCGGGCCCCUCCCCUGCCAGGGUGUCCUGGCACCCCGGAAUGCUGAUACGGAGCCCUGAGGAUCAGCGAAGGGUCUCUCCUCUCCAGUUUAUCAGACUCGCCACUGUUCUCCUCAUUGUUCAGGUCUGUGGUGUUUCCAGGUAUAGUAUCUUUCAGUUUUGAGGUCCCUGUGGGACCCAGGGAUCUUUUCUGAGGUUGGGAAUGCCCUCCUGGGCUCUCAGCCUCCCUCUUUUCCACACUCAGUCAUCCUCCUGAGUCCUGGCUUCCAUCUCAGGGAAGCUGGAGCAGAGUGAGAGUGACAGUGGCUCCCAGGCCUCCUUCCUUCCCCAUUCAGUUUGAGUAGAGUGGGGACAGGGUCCCCUGCCUGAUUCUCAAAGGCCCUGCCCCUCGUGCACACUCAUCAGAAUCCCUCGAUGGUGACCUAUGCUGUGACAGCAGACAGGCCUCUCAAGACUGCUUGGUGCUCUGCUUCAGGAAAAGUCCAGAAGGGAGAGACCCCUCAUCUUGGCCACCUGGGAAAACUAGGAACAAACAAGAGGGAAAAGGGUGUGGGGGAGGAGGGAAGAAAGAAUCACUCCUGCUUUUUCAGUAGAUGUUAGUGCCAGGUGAGAACCAGGAUGAGCCCCAGGGCUGCUGCCGAUUCCUUCUGCUCCUCCUCCUCCUCCCCCUCUAGAUCUGCCCUUGUGUCACUUCCGGGAGGGCCCUCACCUCACAGGGCUGCUCAACAACAUCCUCUGUGUCUGUGCCCCACAGUCCUGGCGGGGACCUCUGCUCUUCUUCCUUUGCCUUAAGAUAUAAUUGUCACUUACCUGCUGCUUCCAGCACUAGACUGUGCACUCCUCUGGGCAUCUCAGGGAUCCAGGGAGCCAAGUCUGGUACCUAGAGAAUGACGAAACAGCUGUGUGGGAAAGCCGUCCUGCCUCUUUUUAUCUAGUGCUGCCGGGAGAACCAGGGGAGCAAACCCAAUCUGCCUCUUCUCAAAUUUCCUCACCUUGCAGCUGCCCAGGAGGCCUCAGGCGCAGAAGGCAGAGAUGGGUGGUUCCCCUGGCACUGCUGCCCUGCCAGCCUCUUUUGUUUUGACCCGCUCUGUGAACUCCGUAGUCCCAUCCCUCCCACACACACCCAGAGAAGCAGGAGUCAUGGGCUACAGAGAAAGGGGUGUCCCCAGGCUACUAAAACUCUACCUCCCAGGUCAGGUAGCCAGACCUACCUGAAGAAGCACUCCAGCAGGUGGCUCCAUUGGGGCCCCCAGGAGAGUGUCCCCAUCAGCGCUCAGGGUGCACUGAAACCCCAGACCUUACCUGCUCCUUCGCAGAGUUCCUGUGCCUGGCAUUCCUGAAGGCCUCUUGAGUGUGUGGCCCCAGGCCUGAAGCCAUGGGGACACAGACGUGGAGAGGUAUGCAUUCUGCCCACAACGAGAGUUUAUUCAGAUUUUGGGGACCAGACCUGGAAUGAAAGAGUUAUGUACACAUUAACUGCUUGGUUAUUAAUUCCUGGGUCAAUGGGACCAGCCUGAACUGCUCAUCCCAUCCCCCCGACGCACCUUUACAGCCUCCACAGGAUGCUCCAGGGUCUCUCUCCCAUGAUGUCUCCCCAGAUUCACCUGCUCCUUCGUCUCUUCACUCUUAUACUCACUCCCAAUGACUAUGCUGCAUUUGAAAUAGGAAUGUGGAAGGUUGUAAUGCAGUGUUUCUUGUGCAUGCAACACCUCUAUGAUUUUUCCCAUACAUGCUUUCCUAUGAUUUGCUAAUUUUUCUUUACCAGGCCUUACUUUUAUUUCUUUUUACCUAUUAUAAACAGAACUAUAAAAGUAAAUACGUAUCUGGCAGUGCCACCAUCUUCAACAGACCUGCCAAAGCCACUGAGGGUGGAGAAGAGAGAACUGAGAUGGCACAUAGGUGGUGUUUUAGGCCAGGCAGGCAGGUCUGGAAGUGGCGACACCACUUCUGUCUUCAGUCCGUUGUCCGGAACUCAGUCACUAGGCUCCAAACCAAGGGCAAGCGGCCUGGGAAACGUAGUUUAGUGUGUGCCCUGGAGCAGAAGGCAACUGCAUUGGUGGCCACGUAGCCAGACUCUGCCUCCCUAAUGAGAAAAGCAUUAGGAUCGGUGUCAGAAGUCCUGGGUUAGAGUCAUUCUUUUAGUGUUCCCAGUUCUCCAGGCCCUGAUUCCCUCAUUUGAAGGAUGGGAAAAAUUAUACCAGCCUUGCCCAUCUCCCUGGGUGUUUUCACGGACAGGUGGCAUCAGCAUGUAGUCUAUAAAAAUUGUUGUUAAAUUGAACUCUAAAGGGCUAGGCCAGGGGUACUGCUACAUCUAGAAAGUAUUCAGGGGAAUCUGAGCAUUCAAAGUUCCUGACUGUGUCUACGCAAAUAUCCACAUCUUAAGUCUCAGAAUCCCCUUCUUUCCUUUUAGGCCUUUGACUAUGGAAGGCCGUAAAGAAAGCCAUCAGGCUGAAAAUUCAGGAUUCUCUGAUGCUCCAUGAUUAUGAUUAAGACCUCAGCUUGAGUCUGGUCCUCUGCUCUGGCUGCCCUCUGGUUGCAGGAUUAGGGUCUCCUUAAAUACUGCCAAGGAGGCCUUCUUGCUUUCACGUUUUGCCUUGAGUUGGUGAGUGACCCCCUGUGCUGGCCUUUAUCUCUCUUCAAUGAUUCAGCAGCUCUCAGCCACACCCAAUUCCAUUGUCUUUCCGGUCACCAUCUCCCUCAUACCUCUCCAGUGCUGGGAUGUUGUACCUGCCAGUGUGUCCCCUUCUACUGGUAUCCCAUCCCAGCUCACCACCAGUGAAAGUUUUAACAAUUGCUGCAGCAUGCCAGGGGCUGUCUGUAUUCCACCAGCCACUAGUUGUGAAGUCCUCAUUGCCAGCUAGCCAGCAAAUGAUCCACUUCCCAAAUCCCUUUUUAGGAUUGGCUUCCCAUAACCACUCCCAACACUGCCUAUCCUAGCAUGGGUUCCCAUUCUGAGAUGGAAAAUUGCACACUAUCCACCCAUACAGAGUGUUUAUUGGAAAGUGUUUGCGGCAGAUGCACUUGUAAGGGAAUGAGGAAGGCAGGGCUGGGCAGGGACAGAAGCUGGGCUGUAACCCAGUUGCAACUGAGGCCUCAGCACAUCCUAGGAGGAGCCCUGGAGUUGAAAUGACCCUUUAAAAUUGUCCCAAAUUGAAGCAAGGGAGGGUGGGCAUUGGAUCCCUACAUCAGCCGGGCACUAGCUGUGGACUGCUCCCACCAACGGGGCAGUUUCUCACAGCCAGGGCAAUUCCCCCUGAAUACUGGCUGCCACUAACAUUCCCAGCAGCUGGGGGAUGCAUGUGUCCCCUGGAAAGGGAAUAUGGGGCGAGCACCACAGUAUCCACUAUAGCAAGGCUUCAGCUCUUGGUCUGUGUUCUCACAUGGCCACAAUCCUAGAGCUCACACCACUUUCUAUGGCAGCCGCCCCUCCUUAUGACCAAAAGACCCUGGAGGUUAGCGUUUCUCUCUUGUUAUUUAACUUCUGUACAUUGUGAGGGAGGGGAGCUCAGGAAAAUGUGGUUGGUCCCCCACACCACUUCAGAACCACGGUCAGUUAGGUGAGGCUGUCGCAGGACCUCUGUGUCCCUGAUAUCCCAUUCACCAAUUUUUAUUCCAUGGCUCCCACUGCAUGAGGACAUGAGAAACUCCAGCGAGGUACCAGAGUUCUGGAGAGAAAGAGAGAACAGAGCUCCUCUGCUCCCAGAUCGCUAAACUUACUAUGUCUCUCUCGGUGCUGCCCAAAGGGUACCCACGAGCCACAUAUAGGUAUUUAAAUUUAAAUUAAAUUAAAUUUAAAACUCAGCUCCUCAGUCACACUAGCCACAUUUCAGGGGCUCAACGGCCACAUGUGUCUAGUGGCUACUGCACUGGACGGUGCAGAUAUAGAAUGUUUCCAUCGUUGCAGAAAGUUCUGCUGGACAGUGCUAGACUAUUGUCUUCCAUCGCAUUCGGAUCUAAGCUGGGUGGGAAAUGACACCCUCUUCUCUGAGAUCCCCACCAGUCUCCAGUUCUCUUGCUUUUUCUCCAGGCUGUCUUCUGUUCCAUUUUCAUCUCCUCUUGAGUGUGUGAGUGUGCAUGGGG